AUGGCACAGUUGUACGAGAUUAGAGAAAAGUGGGCGAAGCCGUACUUCAACGGGGUUUUCUGCGCCAAGAUGACGAGCAUUCAACAUAGCGAAAGUGCGAAUCACAUGGUGAAGACCUACAUGCCACCAGUGAGUCCAAUGCAUGUUUUUGUGAGGCAAUACAUGAGACCGCAGUUUGAUCAAGAGCGAGAGGAGAGCUAUGAGGACAAGAGGACAAUGACAGGUGGAGCAGUGAGGAGAACUAAUUUGACGAUAGAGCGGCAUGCAAGUAGGAUAUACACAGGAGCAAUGUUCGAAGAGUUUGGGGGCCUACUAAUCGAAGCUACUGCCUACUAUGUCACCGAAAUAGAGAAGAUGAGGAAAUAUCUUACAGUCCACAACAAUGCAGCCAAGGGAGAAAAAUGGAGCAGGGUUGAGUAUGAAGUGAACAUAAAUGAUGACCAAUUAGAGUUUACAUGUGAAUGUGGUCAGUUCGACCACACUAGGAUGUUGUGCAGCCAUGUUCAGAGG
RNAcentral lists this ribosomal RNA (510 nucleotides) under Triticum aestivum (bread wheat). RNAcentral describes it as "partial small subunit ribosomal RNA". Lineage: Eukaryota; Viridiplantae; Streptophyta; Magnoliopsida; Poales; Poaceae. The record is from RNAcentral.